This 819-nucleotide ribosomal RNA is filed under the name uncultured Streptococcus sp. Its description in RNAcentral is "bacterial SSU rRNA". It matches the Rfam family "Bacterial small subunit ribosomal RNA", at positions 32 to 836 of the family's 1533-position model. The record is from RNAcentral. Lineage: Bacteria; Bacillati; Bacillota; Bacilli; Lactobacillales; Streptococcaceae.
AACGCUGGCGGCGUGCCUAAUACAUGCAAGUAGAACGCUGAAGGAGGAGCUUGCUUCUCCGGAUGAGUUGCGAACGGGUGAGUAACGCGUAUGUAACCUGCCUGGUAGCGGGGGAUAACUAUUGGAAACGAUAGCUAAUACCGCAUAAGAGUAGAUGUUGCAUGACAUUUGCUUAAAAGGUGCAAUUGCAUCACUACCAGAUGGACCUGCGUUGUAUUAGCUAGUUGGUGAGGUAACGGCUCACCAAGGCAACGAUACAUAGCCGACCUGAGAGGGUGAUCGGCCACACUGGGACUGAGACACGGCCCAGACUCCUACGGGAGGCAGCAGUAGGGAAUCUUCGGCAAUGGACGGAAGUCUGACCGAGCAACGCCGCGUGAGUGAAGAAGGUUUUCGGAUCGUAAAGCUCUGUUGUAAGAGAAGAACGAGUGUGAGAGUGGAAAGUUCACACUGUGACGGUAUCUUACCAGAAAGGGACGGCUAACUACGUGCCAGCAGCCGCGGUAAUACGUAGGUCCCGAGCGUUGUCCGGAUUUAUUGGGCGUAAAGCGAGCGCAGGCGGUUAGAUAAGUCUGAAGUUAAAGGCUGUGGCUUAACCAUAGUACGCUUUGGAAACUGUUUAACUUGAGUGCAAGAGGGGAGAGUGGAAUUCCAUGUGUAGCGGUGAAAUGCGUAGAUAUAUGGAGGAACACCGGUGGCGAAAGCGGCUCUCUGGCUUGUAACUGACGCUGAGGCUCGAAAGCGUGGGGAGCAAACAGGAUUAGAUAUCCUGGUAGUCCACGCCGUAAACGAUGAGUGCUAGGUGUUAGACCCUUUCCG